CACGCCCUAAACGAUCUUGACUGGCUUCAAGGAGUAUCGACCCUCUUUGUGGCGAAGCUAACGCGUUAAGUCAAGCGCCUGGGAAUUACGAUCGCAAGAUUAAAACUCAAAGGAAUAGACGGGGACCUGCACAAGCGGUGGAUUAUGUGGUUUAAUUCGACGGUAAACGAAAAACCUCACCAGGGUUUGAAACCCAAGUGUAAGCUUUGUGAAAACUUAGCCCUCCGCAAGGACACUUGGACAGGUGA
This 248-nucleotide ribosomal RNA is filed under the name uncultured bacterium. Its description in RNAcentral is "partial 16S ribosomal RNA". It matches the Rfam family "Bacterial small subunit ribosomal RNA", at positions 796 to 1041 of the family's 1533-position model. The record is from RNAcentral.